Molecule: ribosomal RNA, 657 nt
Filed under: uncultured fungus
Lineage: Eukaryota; Fungi
Description: eukaryotic LSU rRNA
Rfam family: 5.8S ribosomal RNA (bases 277-430)
Source: RNAcentral
CUUGGUCAUUUAGAGGAAGUAAAAGUCGUAACAAGGUUUCCGUAGGUGAACCUGCGGAAGGAUCAUUAAUUGAACGAACAUGUUACCCGGCAUGGUAUUUCAAACCCCACCCGUGUAUCCAACCUGUUGCUUCCGUGCUGCACAUUCUGCAAACGCGUGCCUUCCGGUCCGGAGUACCUACUACUCACAGGGCCGUUGGGAGCCAGCACGGGAGGUAAACCACAAACUCUUGCCCUUGAAUGCCUUACGUCUGAGCUGUAGUACACGAAAAUUUAAAACUUUCAACAACGGAUCUCUUGGUUCUCGCAUCGAUGAAGAACGCAGCGAAAUGCGAUAAGUAGUGUGAAUUGCAGAAUUCCGUGAAUCAUCGAAUCUUUGAACGCACAUUGCGCCUCCUGGUAAUCCGUGAGGCAUGCCUGUUUGAGCGUCACUAAAAUCAACUCAACCACAUUUGUGCUUGGUCAUGGAGGAAGAGUCCGUCUUGUUGCGGUCUCCCCUCCCAAAAUCAACGGCGGAAAUUCACUGGCACUCGGCGUAGUAUUAUUAUUCGCCGAUUAUCCAGUGUCGUUCCUGCCACCAAAUCCCCAAAAUUCUCUUGAUUGACCUCGGAUCAGGUAGGGAUACCCGCUGAACUUAAGCAUAUCAAUAAGCGGAGGA